Molecule: long non-coding RNA, 807 nt
Organism: Labeo rohita (rohu)
Lineage: Eukaryota; Metazoa; Chordata; Actinopteri; Cypriniformes; Cyprinidae
Exons: 3
Source: RefSeq, a predicted model, not a curated record
CUCUACAGGGCCUUAGAUUUAAUCAGAUACAGGCAUUGCAUUACAUUACGAGAAAAAGUAAAUGUUUGAACAUUAUUAGGAGGCCUUAUAUUAAUAUAGAUGACAUCAUCUGCAACAUUGUACCAAACAGUAUCAUUCUCAGGGCCCGGCCCGUUCGAGAGCUCCGGCCGUCUGAAAGGAGGCUUGUGUUUGAAGCGGAGCCACACCUCUCUCACGGGAAACUUCACACGCGUCUAAAUCACGCAGUUAAAUGUGAUCUGGACAUGUUUUGAUGAGAUUCAUCAUCCAUGUGCGUGUAAAUGUUUUCAGCUGCAUGAGCGUGUAUGAGAAUGGAUGUUUCGGGAGAAUCUGGAGCGGUGAACGUCCCACCAGACAAGCCGAACAUAAAUAAACUGAGCUGGUGCUUUUGCUGAGGAGCGAAAGACACAGAUGGAUGGAAAGAAGAGAAAGAAAGAAAGACGGGGCUGGUUCGGGGGUGAAGGGUCAGACAGCAGCUUUAUGGGCCGUGCCUCACGCUUCACCAGACCAAACUAUCCAAACCGGCACAGAGAAACUAAUAGGCAGAUGUCUGGAAUGUUCCACAGAUGGAGAUCAGACUCAGCCUGCACUUCUGUCCUGUGCUGACAAAAUCAUUUGAAGUCGAGGGUCAGAUCGGACUAAACUCCAUCAGACAUGCAUUAACUAACUGAACGUUAUUACUGGAGUUAAAUCUGAAUUAGAUAAUAAAAGAUUUGUUUCAAUUACAUAAUAACUGCACAUUCGACAAAUACUGGUGAUAUAUGAUGCCUUUUAUUAGACAGGACAAUU